RNAcentral lists this ribosomal RNA (1287 nucleotides) under metagenome. RNAcentral describes it as "bacterial SSU rRNA". It matches the Rfam family "Bacterial small subunit ribosomal RNA", at positions 242 to 1520 of the family's 1533-position model. The record is from RNAcentral.
UAGCUAGUUGGUGAGGUAAAGGCUUACCAAGGCGACGAUCUGUAGCGGGUCUGAGAGGAUGAUCCGCCACACUGGAACUGAGACACGGUCCAGACUCCUACGGGAGGCAGCAGUGGGGAAUUUUGGACGAUGGGGGCAACCCUGAUCCAGCCAUGCCGCGUGAGUGAAGAAGGCCUUCGGGUUGUAAAGCCCUUUCGGCCGGGAAGAAAUCGCAUGGGCCAAUACCCUGUGUGGAUGACGGUACCGGAAUAAGAAGCACCGGCUAACUACGUGCCAGCAGCCGCGGUAAUACGCAGGGUGCGAGCGUUAAUCGGAAUUACUGGGCGUAAAGCGUGCGCAGGCGGUUUUGUAAGACAGGCGUGAAAUCCCCGGGCUUAACCUGGGAACUGCGUUUGUGACUGCAAGGCUAGAGUACGGCAGAGGGGGGUGGAAUUCCACGUGUAGCAGUGAAAUGCGUAGAGAUGUGGAGGAACACCAAUGGCGAAGGCAGCCCCCUGGGUCGAUACUGACGCUCAUGCACGAAAGCGUGGGUAGCAAACAGGAUUAGAUACCCUGGUAGUCCACGCCCUAAACUAUGUCAACUAGGUGUUGGGUGGGUAAAACCAUUUAGUACCGUAGCUAACGCGUGAAGUUGACCGCCUGGGGAGUACGGCCGCAAGGUUAAAACUCAAAGGAAUUGACGGGGACCCGCACAAGCGGUGGAUGAUGUGGAUUAAUUCGAUGCAACGCGAAAAACCUUGCCUACCCUUGACAUGCCAGGAACUUGCCAGAGAUGGCUUGGUGCCCGAAAGGGAGCCUGGACACAGGUGCUGCAUGGCUGUCGUCAGCUCGUGUCGUGAGAUGUUGGGUUAAGUCCCGCAACGAGCGCAACCCUUGUCGUUAAUUGCCAUCAUUUAGUUGGGCACUUUAACGAGACUGCCGGUGACAAACCGGAGGAAGGUGGGGAUGACGUCAAGUCCUCAUGGCCCUUAUGGGUAGGGCUUCACACGUCAUACAAUGGUCGGUACAAAGGGUUGCCAAGCCGCGAGGCGGAGCCAAUCCCAGAAAGCCGAUCGUAGUCCGGAUUGCAGGCUGCAACUCGCCUGCAUGAAGUCGGAAUCGCUAGUAAUCGUGGAUCAGCAUGUCACGGUGAAUACGUUCCCGGGUCUUGUACACACCGCCCGUCACACCAUGGGAGCGGGUUCCGCCAGAAGUAGGUAGCCUAACCGCAAGGGGGGCGCUUACCACGGCGGGGUUCGUGACUGGGGUGAAGUCGAAACAAGGUAGCCGUAGGGGAACCUGCGGCUG